CUGCUCCCUGCCCCGGCGUCCUGGAGCCCAGCCGACCACGAGGGUUUUUCUCCGUGUUGUAUCUUCCCGAAAACCCAGAACCCAAACCCAAGAAAGAACCACUCCUGUUGUCCUCUCUCCCCUCCUCCAGUCCCAAUGACAUUUCCCGGCUUUUGUGUGAGAUGACCCAAAAGCAAGCCCUUCUCCACUCCUCCUCCAUGCAAUGGGGUCCCUAAAAGCUACCCUCACUCCCCUUCUCUCUUACUCACCUGGAGGAAGGGGAAUGGAGAGGAUGGACACCAGAGCCUCCUAUUUCCCAGCAUUUCCACACAGGGAAGACAAGCAUCUCACCGUGCGCACUCCGACAGGAGGGCAGGAGGCGGAAAGGUGGAAUAGCCCAGAAGAGCAGGCUGCUGCCCAGGCCCCUAGGCCACAUCCGAAGGACGUUAAGUCUAGAGCCCCAGGAAGGAAGGCGUCCUGGGUCAGUUUCAUUUCACAUAAACGGACUGUCCCUGGAUCCAGGGAAGCGGAUUCUCCCGUUUCCUCCCUGGUGCCUCAGUCUUUUUGGAGGCGCCCUCUGCUGGCCACUGGGAAGUGCAGGAAAGAACAGAGUCCUGCAGACUCAAAGAGCGUCUACAGAAAGGGACAAGAGGUAGAGACAACCGGGAGCCAACUGAGAGCGGUGGCUGGACUGCCACAAAUAAGAGAGGCAUGCUGAAGCCUUCUUGGAGGCCCCGUUCCAGACCCAGCCAGGGUGAAGAGGACUCCCAGGGGCGGAGAUCGAGGCCCAGGAGAGAACAGAGAGCAUCCUGCUUUAAUUGGAGAGCAUGAAGAGGUGGGCAAGGAUGUUCUGGAACACUGACCAUAGUCCAUCCUGAAUGGAAUUGGACUGACUCGACCCUCUCAUCUCCUGGAGCAGCUGGGUCUAAAGUGUGUGUGCACGGGUACAGACGUACAGGAGGAAAAUAUUAGGACGUCGGGCCUGGGAGUGGCCGACACAGAGUCAGCCACAGUGUUUUGGGAUGGACAGAACAAAUAGAACACAAGUCUACUGGACGCUGUGCUGACACAGAUAUGGGACUCAAGUUGUCUGUAAACAUUCCUGUGACUUGGCCUGCUGCAGAAAUAAAAGCACUAGCCUGGAGUUCUGACACACCCGGAUAUAAAUGCUGGCUCCACCACCGGCUGUGUGAACUUGGACCCACACUGUGCCUUUCUGGGCCUCACUGUUCUCAUCUGGAAAAUGGAGCUAAGAAGAAGAGGCCCUCCGGGUUGUUGGGAGAAGUCAGUGAGUUAACACAGGUGGAAACGCCCUGAGCAUGGCACCUGACACACAGGGAGGGCUCAGCAAAGGCUGGUCUCUUUCCUCCCUCUCCUUUACCCACAUAGGCCCUUGACCUCUAUCCCUGCCAGACUCCCCCUGGACAAACACCCUCCCAGAGGUUGGACGCACACAGCAACUCUUGUCCAGGUUCCUUGAUGGACCCUGCCCAUGGGACGUUUGCAAAUUCCAAAGAGAAAACUAGUUAAUCUGUAGAAAGCCUAAACGGUAUAGAGAAGUGAAGAAUUUCUGGAUUCAUCCAAGAAACAUUUGGGAUGGGGGAGCACUCCCUUUCCCCUCCAAUCAUACCACUUAGGCAGCUACCUGCUUCCACAUCGUUUUCCUACACACACACACACACACACACACACACACACACCUCCCUACACCAACAAUUCCCAAGAGCUGAUCCCUGACCAUGUUCUCACCUGUCUACAGCUCAAAAUGUUAGUAUAAGAGUGCCUAUCAACCUUUCUAGGGAAAGACUAGUUUUUAUUUCUACUUUUCUUUGGGGGGUAUUAAAAUGUUCUUUUUGUUAGGAUGUAGUAAUGGGAAAUUAAUCUUUUUAAAUUAUCCUAUGUCCUUACUUGACAAAAUAAGAUGCCAGCAAUUCUUACAUCAGUUCCCA
RNAcentral lists this long non-coding RNA (1928 nucleotides) under Equus caballus (horse). RNAcentral describes it as "lncRNA (ENSECAG00000029272.2)". The record is from RNAcentral. Lineage: Eukaryota; Metazoa; Chordata; Mammalia; Perissodactyla; Equidae.